GAUGAACGCUAGCGGGAGGCUUAACACAUGCAAGUCGAGGGGUAAAUGGUAGCAAUACUAUGAGACCGGCGAACGGGUGCGUAACGCGUAUGCAACUUACCUUAUGCAGGGGGAUAGCCCGUGGAAACGCGGAUUAAUAUCCCAUAGAUCAGUAAUAUCGCAUGGUAUAACUGGUAAAACUCAGGUGGCAUAAGAUGGGCAUGCGUCUGAUUAGCUAGUUGGUAGGGUAACGGCCUACCAAGGCGACGAUCAGUAGGGGUUCUGAGAGGAUUAACCCCCACACUGGUACUGAGACACGGACCAGACUCCUACGGGAGGCAGCAGUGAGGAAUAUUGGUCAAUGGGCGCAAGCCUGAACCAGCCAUCCCGCGUGAAGGAAGAAGGCCCUACGGGUUGUAAACUUCUUUUCUGUUUGAAGAAUAAGCUCGUCGAGACGAGUGAUGCCGGUAGGACAGGAAUAAGCAUCGGCUAACUCCGUGCCAGCAGCCGCGGUAAAACGU
This 500-nucleotide ribosomal RNA is filed under the name uncultured bacterium. RNAcentral describes it as "bacterial SSU rRNA". It matches the Rfam family "Bacterial small subunit ribosomal RNA", at positions 28 to 528 of the family's 1533-position model. The record is from RNAcentral.